AAGCCCGCUGUAUAAAGAUUGAGUCAGUCCACAGCCAUUGGCUUUUCUUUUGCAGAUCGCUCACUUCAAGAUCCCUCGGUACAUAGUGUUUGUGAAGGAUUUCCCGCUCACCGUCUCGGGCAAGAUUCAGAAAUACAAACUGAGGGAGCGAAUGGAGAAGCAUCUUCAGCUUUGAACCCAACAACCCAGCGCAACCCAAAAUUAACAUUUCUUCUGCCAACUUUUAUACUUCAGCUUUCUAAGCCGUUAAGAGAGCUGGCAACCUGCCUUAACAUAGCAAUCACCAGCCUGCCUUAAGAUGCUUUAGUCAGGCCUACUUAAAAUAACGUGGGGUUUUUUCUAAUAAAUAAAAAUUCUGUUUCUUUAGCA
Molecule: non-coding RNA, 369 nt
Organism: Podarcis muralis (Common wall lizard)
Lineage: Eukaryota; Metazoa; Chordata; Lepidosauria; Squamata; Lacertidae
Source: RefSeq, a predicted model, not a curated record